AAAUUGAAGAGUUUGAUCAUGGCUCAGAUUGAACGCUGGCGGCAGGCCUAACACAUGCAAGUCGAGCGGCAGCGGGAAAGUAGCUUGCUACUUUUGCCGGCGAGCGGCGGACGGGUGAGUAAUGCCUGGGGAUCUGCCCAGUCGAGGGGGAUAACAGUUGGAAACGACUGCUAAUACCGCAUACGCCCUACGGGGGAAAGAAGG
This 204-nucleotide ribosomal RNA is filed under the name Aeromonas salmonicida subsp. salmonicida. RNAcentral's name for it is "partial 16S ribosomal RNA". It matches the Rfam family "Bacterial small subunit ribosomal RNA", at positions 1 to 210 of the family's 1533-position model. Lineage: Bacteria; Pseudomonadati; Pseudomonadota; Gammaproteobacteria; Aeromonadales; Aeromonadaceae. The record is from RNAcentral.